RNAcentral lists this ribosomal RNA (301 nucleotides) under uncultured bacterium. RNAcentral's name for it is "partial 16S ribosomal RNA". It matches the Rfam family "Bacterial small subunit ribosomal RNA", at positions 509 to 807 of the family's 1533-position model. The record is from RNAcentral.
CAGCAGCCGCGGUAAGACGAACCGUGCGAACGUUAUUCGGAAUCACUGGGCUUAAAGCGCGUGUAGGCGGAUGGGAGCGUCGGCCUCUGAAAUCCCCCGGCUCAACCGGGGAAGUGGAGCCGAAACGACCCGUCUGGAGGGGCGUAGGGGGACCUGGAACUUCUGGUGGAGCGGUGAAAUGCGUUGAGAUCGGAAGGAACGCCCGUGGCGAAAGCGAGGUCCUGGACGUCUGCUGACGCUGAGACGCGAAAGCCAGGGGAGCGAACGGGAUUAGAUACCCCAGUAGUCCCUGUCUCUUAUA